RNAcentral lists this ribosomal RNA (456 nucleotides) under uncultured bacterium. RNAcentral's name for it is "bacterial SSU rRNA". It matches the Rfam family "Bacterial small subunit ribosomal RNA", at positions 33 to 507 of the family's 1533-position model. The record is from RNAcentral.
ACGCUGGCGGCAUGCCUAACACAUGCAAGUCGAACGAACAUCUUCGGAUGUUAGUGGCGCACGGGUGAGUAACGCGUGGGAACCAGCCUUAUGGUACGGGAUAACGUCGGGAAACUGACGCUAAUACCGUAUAUGUCUUCGGAUGAAAGAUUUAUCGCCAUAAGAGGGGCCCGCGUCUGAUUAGCUAGUUGGUGAGGUAAUGGCUCACCAAGGCGACGAUCCGUAACUGGUCUGAGAGGAUGAUCAGUCACACUGGAACUGAGACACGGUCCAGACUCCUACGGGAGGCAGCAGGUGGGGAAUUAUUGGACAAUGGGGGGAACCCUGAUCCAGCAAUGCCGCGUGUGUGAAGAAGGCCUGAGGGUUGUAAAGCACUUUCAGUGGGGAGGAGGGUUGAUAGGUUAAGAGCUAAUUAACUGGACGUUACCUACAGAAGAAGCACCGGCUAACUCCGUG